GUCACACUGCUUUUGGAAACAGGUGGUGAGGCUGGCGUCGCCAUGUUUUCUAAGGGACUUUCUCAGGAUCAGAUCCAAGAGUGGUCCUUUAGGGCUUUUUUUUUUUUUUUUUGAGACGUUGUCUCGCCCUGUCACCCAGGCUGGAGUGCAGUGGCGCGAUCUCGGCUCAGUGCAACUUCCGUCUCUCGGGUUCAAGCAAUUCUCCUGCCUCAGCCUCCAGGGUAACUGCGAUUACAGGCUCCCGCCACCACGCCAGGCUAAUUUUUGUAUUUUAAGUAGAGACGGGAUUUCACCAUAUUGGCCAGGCUGGUCUUGAACCCCUGACUUCCAGUGAUCCGCCAACCUCAGCCUCCCAAAGGGGCUUUUAAAUGCUGUCGCCCAUUCUAGAAUGCAGCGGCGUGAUCUUGGCUCACUGCAGCCUCGACUUCCCUGGCUCAAGUGAUCCUCCCACCUCAGCCUCCCGAGUUGCUGGGACCACAGGUGCCACACCGCGCCCGCUUAAUUUUUUUUUCUUUAUAUAUAUUUUUUUGUAGUGACGGGGUUUCGAACUCCAGGACUCAACGGAGCCUCCCAUCUCAGACUCUGGGUGAGAUUAUAGGCGUUAACCAUGACUCCCUACCCAGUAUAAACUCAAACACACCAGGCGCAGCAGCUCACGCCUGUAAUCCCAGCACUUUGGGAGGUGAAGGCAGGUGGAUCACCUGAAGUCAGGAGUUCGAGACCAGCCUGGCCAACAUGGCGAAAUCCCGUCUCUACUAACAAUAACAAAAAUUAGCUGGGCGUGGUGGCAGGCGCCUGUAAUACCAGAGAUUCAGGAGGCUGAGGCAGGAGAAUCGCUUGAACCCAGGAGGUGGAGGUUGCAGCCAGCCAAGAUCGUGCCAUUGCACUCCAGCUGGGGCAACAAGAGUGAAACUCUGUCUCAAAAAAACAAAAACAAAAGCAAAUAAAAUAUUGCUGGGCGCGGUGGCUCACACCUGUAAUCCCAGCAGUUUGGGAGGCCAAGGCGGGCGGAUCACUUGAGGUCAGGAGUUUGAAACCAGCCUGGCCAACAUGGUAAAAACCUUUUCUCUACUAAAAAUACAAAAAAAUUAGCCCAGCGUGGCA
Molecule: long non-coding RNA, 1104 nt
Filed under: Homo sapiens (human)
Lineage: Eukaryota; Metazoa; Chordata; Mammalia; Primates; Hominidae
Description: non-protein coding lnc-ZNF689-3:3
Source: RNAcentral